Molecule: ribosomal RNA, 120 nt
Filed under: Pteropus alecto (black flying fox)
Lineage: Eukaryota; Metazoa; Chordata; Mammalia; Chiroptera; Pteropodidae
Source: RNAcentral
GUCUACGGCCAUGCCACCCUGAACAAGCCCAAUCCCGUCUGAUCUCGGAAGCUAAGCAGGGUUGGGCCUGGUUAGUACUUGGAUGGAGACCACCUAGGAAGACCUGCUGUUCUGUAGGCA